This is an RNA transcript of Rhinopithecus roxellana (golden snub-nosed monkey), 2964 nucleotides long. It is a transcript of the gene named protein O-fucosyltransferase 2, with no coding region annotated. Lineage: Eukaryota; Metazoa; Chordata; Mammalia; Primates; Cercopithecidae. The transcript is spliced from 9 exons. The record is from RefSeq and is a predicted model, not a curated record.
GGCGCGGCCGCCGGAAGUGCGUGGCCGCCAGGGGCCAUGGCGGCACUCAGCUUCGUCUUCCUGCUGUUGGGGGCAGCGUCCUGGCCGCCGGCUUGUGCCUCCGGCCAGGAGUUCUGGCCCGGCCAGUCGGCGGCCGACAUUCUGUCGGGGGCGGCGUCCCGCAGACGGUAUCUUCUGUAUGACGUCAACCCCCCGGAAGGCUUCAACCUGCGCAGGGAUGUCUAUAUCCGAAUCGCCUCUCUCCUGAAGACUCUGCUCAAGACGGAGGAGUGGGUGCUCGUCCUGCCUCCGUGGGGCCGCCUCUAUCACUGGCAGAGUCCUGACAUCCACCAGGUCCGGAUUCCCUGGUCUGAGUUUUUUGAUCUUCCGAGUCUCAAUAAAAACAUCCCCGUCAUCGAGUAUGAGCAGUUCAUCGCAGAGUCUGGUGGGCCCUUUAUUGACCAGGUUUACGUCCUACAAAGUUAUGCAGAGGGAUGGAAAGAAGGGACCUGGGAAGAGAAGGUGGAUGAGCGGCCAUGUAUCGAUCAGCUCCUGUACUCCCAGGACAAGCACGAGUACUACAGAGGAUGGUUUUGGGGUUAUGAGGAGACCAGGGGUCUGAACGUCUCCUGUCUGUCCGUCCAGGGCUCAGCCUCCAUCGUGGCGCCUCUGCUUCUGAGAAACACACCAGCCCGGUCCGUGAUGUUAGACAGAGCCGAGAACCUACUUCAUGACCACUACGGAGGGAAAGAAUACUGGGAUACCCGUCGCAGCAUGGUGUUUGCCAGGCACCUGCGGGAGGUGGGAGACGAGUUCAGGAGCAGACACCUCAACUCCACGGAUGACGCGGACAGGAUCCCCUUCCAGGAGGACUGGACGAAGAUGAAGGUCAAGCUGGGCUCGGCACUAGGGGGCCCCUACCUGGGAGUCCAUCUGAGAAGAAAAGAUUUUAUCUGGGGUCACAGAGAGGAUGUGCCCAGCCUGGAAGGGGCCGUGAGGAAGAUCCGCAGCCUCAUGAAGAUCCACCGGCUGGACAAGGUGUUUGUGGCCACAGAUGCCGUCAGAAAGGAAUAUGAAGAGCUAAAAAAGCUGUUACCCGAGAUGGUGAGGUUUGAACCCACGUGGGAGGAGCUGGAGCUCUACAAGGAUGGAGGUGUUGCGAUUAUUGACCAGUGGAUCUGCUCACAUGCCAGGUGCCUGCCCCCUUCACCGUCGGCCGAGAGCGGGUUGGGGGACUUUCAAAGGUUCUUCCAUCCCAGGUACUCGGUGUCAGAGCAGAUGGUCACCUGUGUUCACAGUGGUCAUUUCCACACUGUUUACCUCCUCAUCUGAGUCUCCUGUAGCAUCUGGUUCAGUGUUUCCCUAGGCUGAAGUUAAUUGUGUAUCUUGCCCUUGCAAUUCUCACGCCCAGACUUCCUCCAUAGCAGGCUGUUGGCAUAGCUGGCCUCAUCUCAGAACCUCUUCUUGUGUCUCAUUUUCCCGUCAUUCCCAGUUUCUGCCCCGUCUGGCCCCUGCCCUGAGAGUUGCCCGUGCCCUCGAGUUGGGCACGUCCUUGGUGCUGUGUGUGUUGUUGAAGAGCAUCAUGAGCAUCGCCGAGGCCGGGAGCCUGGGCUCUGGUGCGGUCGUUCUCGUGGGGUUGUCGUGAGUGUCCCUGAGGCCGGGAGUCUGGGUCCUGUGUGCGAUCUUUCUUGUGGGGUUGCCACGAGCGUCCGCAAGGCUGGGAUCCUGGGCCCUGCGUGCCGUCAUUCUCGUGGGGCUGCUGUAGGAGGUAGGCCUGGGCCUCUGUUCCUCCAAAGACCUGUCUGCCCGUCUGCAUAGGAGACUAAGGUUGGGGUUAGGGUGAAACAGUUUGAGUUCAAUAAAAAAGGCAAGUAGAGGGAAUGGUCUUCCCGUGGUCAGCACUGUGCACGUGUGUGGGUCUCUGUGGGUUAGUCUGUCUCCCUCCUGCCCGAGGAAUGCUGAGCGCCCUGAGCCGGUGCCUCUUCACACAUCUGCUGUUUCCUGUGGUGUUCUGGGCAGUGCGUAAGACCCACAGAGGCUCCCGGUGAUGCUGUCUGCAGGGCGUGGAUCCCUUUACCUGUUAAGCAGACAGGAGGCAGCGCUGACUUCUUAGGUCAAGGUGGAGGUGUGUGGGAGCCCAGUCACAAGCUCACCCCUGCUUCUCAGGUGUGGCCUUGAGAUUUGACUGCGAGCUUGGCAGUGCUGUCUCCCCAGCCCAGGAGGCCUGACACUGAGGGGAGGCCUGACACUGAGGGGAGGCCUGACACUGAGCUCUUGGUCUCCUGCCCCCAGCUGCGUGAAGCACUUGGCCCAGCUCACUGAAGCUGCUCUGCCUCCAGGCUGGUGCAGCCUGCUCUGACAGGCCGCUGUGUGUGGGGUGGUGAGGGUCUCCCCACCAACGCCGCCCCCACCCAGCAGCACACAGGCCUGUGCAGCCUGCUGGCCCUAUGUUUCCGUGUACAGCGCUGGGCACGUCACGUUUGCUCUGGAAACAUCUCUGGGGUUUGCUUGUUCAUGAAGUUCAUGAAGUGCUGCUGGAGAGCCAGAGACCAACUGCGCAGGAGCCAGAGGAAUGGGCAGGCCGCUGACCCGAGGAUAAGGACCCCCCAUGCCUUGGCUAGACAGUGUUGUGAUUAGUAGGAAUCUCUCAUUGUUCACCAUGUGACCCACAGGAGGUAUUUGACCUGCACCGGCAGGCCUGGUCCAGGAGGUAUUCGACCUGCACCGGCGUGCCUGGUCUGGGAUUUGGUGACGGAGACGAGAGCUCCUGGGGGGUGCAUGUGGUGGGACAGGAGUGUGGUGGCUGCUGACCGUGGGGUGGGGAUGGGGCUGCAGCACCAGGCAGAGCCCCUCAGGGCGCAGAUGUCAAGGGCACCUGAGCGAGGGGUUCCAGCAGGGAGGCGGCUGUGUCGGUUCCAUGUAACUCUGGAACUCAUUUCACUCACCUGCUCCUCUCAGUUCUCCCUAACUCUGAAACCUCUGUGG